UUUUUAUGGAGAGUUUGAUCUUGGCUCAGGACGAACGCUGG
Molecule: ribosomal RNA, 41 nt
Filed under: Pseudogracilibacillus auburnensis
Lineage: Bacteria; Bacillati; Bacillota; Bacilli; Caryophanales; Bacillaceae
Description: partial 16S ribosomal RNA
Source: RNAcentral